This 459-nucleotide ribosomal RNA is filed under the name uncultured bacterium. Its description in RNAcentral is "partial 16S ribosomal RNA". It matches the Rfam family "Bacterial small subunit ribosomal RNA", at positions 338 to 795 of the family's 1533-position model. The record is from RNAcentral.
CCUACGGGAGGCAGCAGUGAGGAAUAUUGGUCAAUGGGCGCGAGCCUGAACCAGCCAAGUCGCGUGAGGGAAGACGGUCCUAUGGAUUGUAAACCUCUUUUGUCGGGGAGCAAAAGACGCCACGCGUGGCGUUCCGAGAGUACCCGAAGAAAAAGCAUCGGCUAACUCCGUGCCAGCAGCCGCGGUAAUACGGAGGAUGCGAGCGUUAUCCGGAUUUAUUGGGUUUAAAGGGUGCGCAGGCGGAAGAUCAAGUCAGCGGUAAAAUUGAGAGGCUCAACCUCUUCGAGCCGUUGAAACUGGUUGUCUUGAGUGAGCGAGAAGUAUGCGGAAUGCGUGGUGUAGCGGUGAAAUGCAUAGAUAUCACGCAGAACUCCGAUUGCGAAGGCAGCAUACCGGCGCUCAACUGACGCUCAUGCACGAAAGUGUGGGUAUCGAACAGGAGUAGAUACCCUAGUAGGC